GGGGGUUUUGAUAACCCCCGCAAAUGUCAUCAAUUUUUAUUAGUUAAGGGGGUUUUUAAUAACCCCCGCAAAAUUUUCAUUGAUUAACUCUGAUUUCACUCUCACUCACAGAACAGAACUCGUUCUCAGUCUCACUCUCACACAAGAACUCGUUCAACCAUGGAAGCUCACGAUUGCAAGCGAUUUCCACUGAUUUUUUCUCGCUUUCCACCGAUUUGAUCUCGUUUUGCAUCGAUUUGAUCUCGUUUUCCACCGAUUUCAACCUUCCCCGAUUUCACCGUUCGCUUCCAUUUCCGUGGCAACAACCACCGCACGCCGUCGUAGCAACAGCCUCCUCCGCCGUCGUUCUCUUUGUGAUUUUCUCAUGGAUGCAUCCCUCAGAGACUCAACAACCUCUAAUCCGUCGCAUGCUGCAUUCUCCGGUUAUCAUAUUUGUUGAUAACUAAGGCGCGGAUAUCAUUUUGGGUAUUUUGCCAUUUACGAGGGAGCUUCUUCGCUGUGGGGUUCAGGUUGUACUGGCUGCUAAUGACUUACCCUCCAUCAAUGAUGUGACUUACCCUGAGCUACUUGAAAUCAUAUCAAGGUUAAAGGAUAAAGAAGGAGGUCUCAUGGGUGUUAGCACUUCAAAUCUUGUAAUUGCCAACUCUGGAAAUGAUUUACCUGGCAUUGAUCUUAAUAAGGUGUCAGAGGAGAUUGCUUUCCAUGCAAAUGAUGCAGAUCUUUCCUUUUAACACUGCAAUUUUUUUGCAAGUAAGGUCUAUGCUUGUUCUUGAUAACUGGAGUAUUUGCUUACCUGCAUUCUUGAGGAUCUGAAGGAGGUUCGUUUUCUGCUUUAGUUAGAUUAUCUUCCUUCGCAUGUGAGAAUUUGGUGAAAGAAUCCUCCACCCUUGACUCGGGUCAGAAACAGCUCAAUUUACACAAAAGAGCUGUCCAUAGACUUUCCGAGUUUGAAGGUCAUAAUUCAUUGCUAUGAGUUUUGUUCUUUUGCUGAUAUCUGACUGCUUUUUUCUUUUUCCUUGAAAGUGAGCGAAUGGAACAAUUUAAACUUAGUACUUCAAGAAAAUGUUUUGAAAUAUUUUUGCUUGGCUUAUUUUUUUAAUAGCUUUAGCUUAUGAGUCGCAAUGUCACAUUUGUAAGUGCUUUUCAUUGUUCAAGACUAUGUGUGCGUUUCGGUAAACAACUUAAUUAAGUGCUUAUAAGUUUAGGUAGUAUUUGAGUAAGAUUAUGACCUACCUAUGGUUUCAUGAUUUGGUCAGCUGAUGUGUGUUUAGGUAGUGCAUGAUGUAAACUGGACCAUUUUCGUUUUAUAAACAUGAUGUUGAUUAUUUUUGUGAACUAUUGGAUUGGUAUGGCUAAAGCAAGGAAUUGUUCAAAAAUGCUUCUGAUCCUUGUCUUAAUGCAUUAGCUUCUUAAUAUUAUCUACACUAUUCAAUGCCUUCAUUAAUAUAUAUAACUGGCUAUUUUGGAUUGAGGCAUUUGGUUUCUUUUUGUGAUGGUGCUUGGUGUGAUUGUAAAGGUCAUGUGUGAUAUUUUAUGGGGAUGGAGCUCUCAUGUUGCAGCACUUUGGAUGGGUUUUUCAACAUACUACUGUGGCUUUUAGGCUGGUUCUGUUAAGUGCAGGAUGCUGAAGUGGAUUCUUACUUGUUGGGACUGUCAAUAUCUUUACUGUUUUAUUUUCUUUUUGGCUUUUAUAACUGGUUGUAGUCUCAUGCUGCACUGGUUGUCAAGGAUGCUGAAAGUAACCUUUGUGUAUUUUAUUUCUAUAUUAUAUACCCGUGAUGCAUUGAAGACCUUCAAGGAACUGAAAGUAUAUAUUCUUUAUAUGAUAAUCCAAUUUCUAAAUAGUCAACUACUUUAUAUUUCACAAUGUAUCAGGGUGUAAAUAUGGUUUGCUUCCAUUUACAUCUUUGCCUUUUAUCUUGUGUUGGAAUUAUAUAUGCCAAUAAUCAGGGAAUGAUUUUCUUUUUAAAUCGUACUUUUUUCUUUGAAUUAUACUUUAAUACAGUAAGUUCGGGGAUUGUUAAAAAGUAAUAGGCCUGCUUAUGCUGUAUGACCAGCUUCUUUCAAUUUCUAAAGUAUAAGUAGAUACUCAUUGGCUUGGAUAAUGUCAUUAUACUUAACCUUUUUCUUUCAGAUUGUAAAAGUCAUGAGCACUUGGGUUUGAUCUUCUACUGUAUAUAGUUGCUCCUACAUACUUAUAUGCUCUUAGGGAUUGUUAUAACCUAGAAGAAUCAAAGACACUUGCCACUUACAAAUCCUUUACUUGUUCUGAAUGCUUCUGUUUACUGCUUAGAAUUGUUCAAAUAAUCACCUGGCAGAUAUAGAUCAGAUCCAAAUGGCCUAAGUUUAUAUAGCUGUUGUCUGUAGGACAUAGAGCCCAUUUGGCUACAAUAAGUACUCUUUGGAUUAUAAUUUAUAUCAAAUAUUUAAGAAGGACUUAGAGUUAAAUAAUUUAUCGACACUAUUUCCCUUGGAAAGCUUGGGUAGGUCGUGGAUUAUGGGUUCAGCUGCUGUUCCACAAAUGCAUAUUGUCUUCAGUUAUUUUCUGGUUAAUUUAUUUUAUUUUCCUCCCCUGAAGUUUUGAGUUUAUCUUAUUCCAAUUUUUAUUUCAGAGAUCUGGGCAGUCAAGGUUUGAAAGGUCUCAUAAGCAAUCAGAUUAGUCUUUUGUCAGACUUGGUAAGCCUAUUCCAGACUCAGAGAAGAGAAAAAUGGGUGGAAACAGAAAUCGAAAGCUGAACAUGAAGGCUGAAGGAUCAGGUAUUAAGAAGAAUGAGAAUGAGGUCACUUGGCACAGUGGAUCAAUGAAGAACUGCCGAUGGAGCUAUGGUAAGCUUUUCAGCACCAUGGGGAUACCCGUAGCUGCGACUGCAACACAGAAAAGGAAGACAACGAAAACAACACAACUGAGAAGAAUAAAUGAUAACAGAGCAGCAAUAUUAACUUCAACAAGGUCGGGCACAUACCAGAAAAGUAUUAGGAAUGUUAAUUAUAACAAUGGUCGAAUGUUAGGAUUAGCUUAAUUGAAGUUAUGUUAUGUUUAUUGAAUUUUUUUGAUGGUAGCAAUCUUUUAUGCUUUAUAGUAUUUAAGUUAAUUAAAUACAUAUUUUGUGUAAUUUGUGUUUCUGAUAGUCUUGGUGGUGCUUUGAAAUAAUUAUGUUUGGUUCUGUCAAAUUGCUUCAAUGCAUGACCUUUGACCAA
Molecule: long non-coding RNA, 3198 nt
Organism: Lotus japonicus
Lineage: Eukaryota; Viridiplantae; Streptophyta; Magnoliopsida; Fabales; Fabaceae
Exons: 9
Source: RefSeq, a predicted model, not a curated record